Molecule: long non-coding RNA, 1829 nt
Filed under: Apteryx rowi (Okarito brown kiwi)
Lineage: Eukaryota; Metazoa; Chordata; Aves; Apterygiformes; Apterygidae
Description: lncRNA (ENSARWG00000010534.1)
Source: RNAcentral
UGGCUACUGUAAUCUUUACAAGAAAUUCGCUUCGGUUUUCCAGCGCGGGACACGCCGGGCGAAGCCGAGGGAGCGGGGCCGGCCGCGUCCCCCCGCCGGGCAGCGCCGCGGAGCAGCACAGACCCAGGCUGAGCAAGUGCGAAAGGGGAAAAACAAAAACAAAACAAAAAGARCAAAAAAACCCCCCAGUCGCGAAGAGGCACGGUUUAACAGUGUAGAUCGCGCUUGCUAUCUGACACCAUCUAAUAGCAAUUAAAGAAUAUCCACGCACAAAACUAUGGCUCCUCCGCUUUCACCCCCCACCCCCCAAAUGUAUUUGCUACACUUAGCAGAAUGGGAGAUAGCGAUCAAAAAAGAAAGUCAGCCUCCUUCAAACUAAUGCAACAUCUGUAGCUGAUAAAAGGCGCUGAGGAGAGCUCAUCUUCUAAAUGAAGCUCAUUUCACAGAGCGCGUGUGCGCAAGGAGGGGGGGAAAAACCACCCUAAGAGGUAAAAUAUAUAUGCAGCCCCCCCCCUCCCCGUCAGAUAAUUAAAGCGCUUGCAUUAAUCACAUUUGCAAUGGAACAAAUUGUUGGAGCCCUUUUGCCCCUCUUUUCAGUGUUUGUUAUUGUAGCGAAUCCUGCUCCAGUCUGGUYGGGAGAGAUAAGUAGCCCUUAUCGCACUUGGCAAUCUGUAUCAGCAUGGAGAUCGGGCCUCGGCGCCUAUCGGGGUUCACAUCUCCUCUAGCUGAAAGCAGAAUAGAAAGGGAAAAGGAAAAAAAACACCCACAGGCAGGCCCCUGCAACUACUGCAAAAAACGUUCACUUCCAGUUAAUUUAGGAAAAAAUAUAUAUAUGUAUAUUAAAAAAAAACAAAACAACCCCAACACACACAGAGGCACAUCAGCAACACGAGAUCAAUCUCCCGCUUAUCAGUUUCCCCAAUCUGGAGAGCCAGCGCUGUAACUGCAUGCACACGCAGCUGCCAGGAGCCUCGCUCAUCAUAUGUGUGCCCGCACUCCCAUGUUUGAAGUUAAUAAAUAUAACAGGCUAUCUGGGUUGGAGAUCAGCUCCUGCUCUCUAUCAGCCCCUCACAUCUAUCUACCAGCAGAACAAAAGACAGAAGAAAAAAAAAAAAAGAGAAAACAGAAGAAAGCAGCAGCAGCAGCUGCACGGAGGUUGCUGGGUUUUCACAGCCUCCGAGAGCCACCGGCGGGAGCGGGGGGCCGGAGCGCAGCCUCCGGCGCCGGCGGCAUCGGCGCCCGGCCCCAUCCCGCCCAGGCACCCCAGCACGCGGCCACCGCCGGGACGGCGGCGCAGCGAGCGUCCGGCACCGCGGCGUUGAACGGCUCACGCGCCGGGCGCUUUCUCCGCUAUCGGGAACUGCCAGCAGCUCCCGCUUACAGCCAGCUUUUAAUGCCUUAACACCGCGCGCCAUCUGAGUUGGGAGCGGAGCGGGGAUGCUCGGCGGGGCGCUCGCCUUCCCGCGGGGCGCCCCCGGCCCCCACCGCCCCGCGGCCCCUCCUGGCACCUCCCGGCGCAGGGGGAGGCAGCAAAAAAGUUGCUCUGCCUAUUUAAGCAGCUUGCUAAAUUAGAAAGCAUGAAAAAAAAAAAAAAAAAAGAAGAAGAAGAAGGUUAAACUAGCUGGUUAAAUAUAGUCCAGUGUCUGAUCUUUGUCUUAUCGCUCUUGGCGAUCGCACGCUCUCCCCGCGAUCUCCCCUUCGAGCCUAUCUGCAUCUCACAUCAAGAAGAAAAAAAAAAAAAAAAGAAAAAGAAAAAAAUGAAGAAGGAGAGGGAACAUAGCGUCACUGAGGAAAAUAAAAUGAGCAGAUACGAAUCUGGAGGAGGUUUU